CACUUAGCUACAUCCUCAGAUUCUUUUAAUUUUUUUUUUUUGAUAGGGUCUUGCUUAGUUACUAAGUUACCUAGGUUGGGCUUAAAUUUGUGAUCAUCCUGCCUCAGCAUCCCAGAGUGCUGCAAUCACAGAUCUCAACAGUGAUUCCUACUCAAUCCUGGCUGUCAGACUUCUCUCCUACUGAGAUGGGUGACCUGUCCUGGAGAUCUUAAGCCAGCGGCUGCUCUAGGAAGAACACGGCCAAUUCCCUCCAGAGUUGCAGAGGGGUCCACAGGAGUGAACGGAGCCAUGCAGGGAGGCUGCUGGGGAGGACGCCAAGGACCUACAGCCAGGCGCUAUGAUGCCUGAAGCAACACAAGAGUAGCUCAAGAAAUACCGCGUUCAGGCUGCAGGCUGAUGUGAAAGAGACCUUUCUCCGGACUUCAACCUUCCCUUUAAUAAUCAAAAGUAAAGCUAAGAUGUAAUUUUUAUAAAAAAUGUAACACUUCAACUGACCACAGAUCCAUCCUUUAUGCAGCCAGUGAGUCAAGCCCUUGUUUGAUGGGGUGGACUUGCAUUCAGAUGUGAACUUUUUAGGCUCAAAAAUGGUGCAGAUUCACUUUUAAAGAUUUAGCCAUUAAAGUAGGAAACUUUA
Cavia porcellus (domestic guinea pig) is the source of this 634-nucleotide long non-coding RNA. RefSeq lists it as uncharacterized. The record is from RefSeq and is a predicted model, not a curated record. NCBI's taxonomy places the organism in Eukaryota, Metazoa, Chordata, Mammalia, Rodentia, Caviidae. The transcript has 2 exons.